Molecule: long non-coding RNA, 1027 nt
Organism: Myotis myotis
Lineage: Eukaryota; Metazoa; Chordata; Mammalia; Chiroptera; Vespertilionidae
Exons: 3
Source: RefSeq, a predicted model, not a curated record
GGGAGGAGGCUGGAGGGCGCUGCGCGCUCCCCCCGGAUCCCGAGUGUCUCCCUCGGGCCCGGCGUCGCGGGGGCUUCGAGUUUGGGGACGGGAAGGAGCUGCAGGGAAGUGUGCGCGCCCUGCUCAGCCCUCUAUGACUUCAGGGAAAGCAGGGCUCGCAGAGGAAAGGGGUGGGGAGCGCGCUCCCUGCGGAAGGAAAAGGCCCGGCCAACGCCGAGGGCACAAAGGGCCCCCGCGCCGCGCCCCGCGGCCCCUCGGACCCCAGGGCGGUCCCAGGCGGCGGCAGAGCGCGCCACGCACCCAUCGCGUGACCGUGGCGCGUCCGGGCGCCGUCGCCCGGGGGCUGCUGCAGGGCGCCUGGCCCGGUGACCUCAGCCCGGAGGCCGCGGCCUCGCGGCGCCAAACGGAGACGGCCCCACGGUCCGGCGCGCCGGACACGCCCGCCCUUCGGCCUGCGAGGAAACUGUGACCCGACCCCACCCCCAUCUCCCUCGGCCGCCGUCGCCCCUCGAGCCUCCGCGCGCGGGGCCGUGCGCCCCAGAGGGGUUGGCCGCCACCGGCGCCCGCUCGGCCGCCUGCCUCCACUGCGGGGGAAGCUAUGCUGGGCCCCUUCUGGGAAGCCGCCACCUUCUGGGCCAGGCUUCUGCGCAGUCCAUUCAUCAAGCGGUGACAAGCCUCCCUAGUCCCCAUGAGAUGGGACCUCCUUGUAGGUAAUCUUAAGGAACCUGCUUUGCUGCUGCCACCAUUUGAUUUGUUUCUCUGGGACGAAUCACAGCACAAUACCCCUUGGUGUGAUUUCAGAUGUGAUCAGCUUUCAGCUAAAUAUUUUUACCCCACUUCUCACACUGUCGGGGAAUCCCGGAUGGCACACAGCGGUAGAUGGCGUGUAUUGUUCCGUAAAUCCUGAGACUUCAAACAGGAACACUAAGUAGAAAAACAAAACUCUAAAGCAGCGGUUCUCAACCUGUGGGUCGCGACCCCUUUGGGGAUCGAACGACCCUUUCACCGGGGUCGCCUAAGACCAUCG